Molecule: ribosomal RNA, 459 nt
Filed under: uncultured bacterium
Lineage: Bacteria
Description: partial 16S ribosomal RNA
Rfam family: Bacterial small subunit ribosomal RNA
Source: RNAcentral
CCUACGGGUGGCAGCAGUGAGGAAUAUUGGUCAAUGGGCUUACGCCUGAACCAGCCAAGUCGCGUGAGGGAAGACUGCCCUAUGGGUUGUAAACCUCUUUUGUCGGGGAGCAAAGCGAGUCACGUGUGACUCAUUGAGAGUACCCGAAGAAAAAGCAUCGGCUAACUCCGUGCCAGCAGCCGCGGUAAUACGGAGGAUGUGAGCGUUAUCCGGAUUGAUUGGGUUUAAAGGGUGCGCAGGCGGAGGUGCAAGUCAGCGGUCAAAUUACGGGGCUCCACCCCGUAAUGCCGUUGAAACUGCAUCCCUUGAGUGCGCGAGAAGUAUGCGGAAUGCGUGGUGUAGCGGUGAAAUGCAUAGAUAUCACGCAGAACUCCGAUUGCGAAGGCAGCAUACCGGCGCCCGACUGACGCUGAGGCACGAAAGCGUGGGUAUCGAACAGGAUUAGAUACCCGGGUAGUC